UUAAGUGAAGCCAAAAAAGAGGCAUUUUAUUGUUAAUAAAACAAUUGAAAUUUUAUUUCCAUUUAAA
RNAcentral lists this transfer RNA (67 nucleotides) under Maoricicada iolanthe. RNAcentral's name for it is "tRNA-Asn". Lineage: Eukaryota; Metazoa; Arthropoda; Insecta; Hemiptera; Cicadidae. The record is from RNAcentral.